GAUGAACGCUGGCGGCGUGCCUAAUACAUGCAAGUCGAGCGAACAGACGAGGAGCUUGCUCCUCUGACGUUAGCGGCGGACGGGUGAGUAACACGUGGAUAACCUACCUAUAAGACUGGGAUAACUUCGGGAAACCGGAGCUAAUACCGGAUAAUAUAUUGAACCGCAUGGUUCAAUAGUGAAAGACGGUUUUGCUGUCACUUAUAGCUGGAUCCGCGCCGCAUUAGCUAGUUGGUAAGGUAACGGCUUACCAAGGCAACGAUGCGUAGCCGACCUGAGAGGGUGGUCGGCCACACUGGAAGUGAGACACGGUCCAGACUCCUACGGGAGGCAGCAGUAGGGAAUCUUCCGCAAUGGGCGAAAGCCUGACGGAGCAACGCCGCGUGAGUGAUGAAGGUCUUCGGAUCGUAAAACUCUGUUAUUAGGGAAGAACAAAUGUGUAAGUAACUAUGCACGUCUUGACGGUACCUAAUCAGAAAGCCACGGCUAACUACGUG
RNAcentral lists this ribosomal RNA (497 nucleotides) under uncultured bacterium. Its description in RNAcentral is "partial 16S ribosomal RNA". It matches the Rfam family "Bacterial small subunit ribosomal RNA", at positions 28 to 507 of the family's 1533-position model. The record is from RNAcentral.